Molecule: ribosomal RNA, 490 nt
Filed under: uncultured bacterium
Lineage: Bacteria
Description: partial 16S ribosomal RNA
Rfam family: Bacterial small subunit ribosomal RNA
Source: RNAcentral
AUUGAACGCUGGCGGCAGGCCUAACACAAGCCAGUCGAACGGUAACAGGAAGAAGCUUGCUUCUUUGCUGACGAGUGGCGGACGGGUGAGUAAUGUCUGGGAAACUGCCUGAUGGAGGGGGAUAACUACUGGAAACGGUAGCUAAUACCGCAUAACGUCGCAAGACCAAAGAGGGGGACCUUCGGGCCUCUUGCCAUCGGAUGUGCCCAGAUGGGAUUAGCUAGUAGGUGGGGUAACGGCUCACCUAGGCGACGAUCCCUAGCUGGUCUGAGAGGAUGACCAGCCACACUGGAACUGAGACACGGUCCAGACUCCUACGGGAGGCAGCAGUGGGGAAUAUUGCACAAUGGGCGCAAGCCUGAUGCAGCCAUGCCGCGUGUAUGAAGAAGGCCUUCGGGUUGUAAAGUACUUUCAGCGGGGAGGAAGGGAGUAAAGUUAAUACCUUUACUCAUUGACGUUACCCGCAGAAGAAGCACCGGCUAACUCCGUG